UAGUUGGAGUAACAAGACAAGAGAGGAUCUGCCACUAAUUUCAAUGUAAUCCUGUCUAUCGCACAGUCGGCCGACAUGGCGACCAUGAAGAAGCUUCUCGCUGGAGAAACCAGCAUCUGAAUUCAAUUUGGUUCCACAGAAGCAGCUUGAACUGCGUCGAAGUGGAUAUAAAAUAUUUUGUCAAUUGGGAAAUAUACACGGGAAUUGUCCACAGUUUUAAGACGGGGCUGGAUGGUAGCAGGACAGAGCACCAUGGUGGAGCCCAAGCCCAGAGCAUCAGCAGCCCAGCGUCUUGAAGCCCAGGAGACUCUGGGUAUCAGCACCCUGGACCCUGGCCACAGGCCGCCCAUCAUGCCCCCGGGACGCCAUGUCACCAUCAAGGUCCGCAUGUUGGACGACACAGAGGAGGUCUUUGACAUCUCACAAAGAGCCUCAGGCAAGGUGUUGUUUGACCUGGUGUGUACCCACCUGAACCUCGUUGAGGGAGACUACUUCGGCCUAGAGUACCAAGACCACAAGAUGAUGGUUUGGUUAGACCUCCUAAAGCCUAUUGUCAAGCAACUGAGACGGCCCAAGCACGUAGUCCUGAGAUUUGUGGUGAAGUUCUUCCCCCCAGACCACGCCCAGCUACUGGAGGAAUUGACCAGGUACCUCUUCGCCCUGCAGAUCAAGCAUGACCUUGCCUGUGGACGUCUGACCUGCAACGACAGUAGCGCGGCCCUGCUGGUCUCCCAUAUUAUCCAGUCUGAGAUUGGGGACUUUGAGGAGAGUCAGAGUCGGCAGCACCUCCUCAACAACAGCUACAUUCCUGACCAGAUGGCUCUGAUGGACAAGAUCAUGGAGUUUCACUCCAAUAAUGGGGGUCAGACGCCAGCAGAGUCGGACUACCAGCUGCUGGAGGUGGUACGCAGACUGGAGCUGUACGGGGUUAGACUACACCCUGCCAAGGACCGCGAGGGCAGCAAGCAGAGCCUGGCCGUGGCGCACACUGGUGUCCUGGUCUUUCAGGGACACACCAAGAUCAAUGCCUUCAACUGGUCCAACGUGCGCAAAUUAAGCUUCAAGAGAAAGCGUUUUCUCAUCAAGCUCAGACCAGACCUGAACCAGAGCUCAUACCAGGACACUCUGGAGUUCCUGAUGGGUAGCCGAGACUGCUGUAAAGUCUUCUGGAAGAUCUGUGUGGAAUACCAUGCCUUCUUCCGCCUCUUUGAGGAGCCCAAAGCAAGGCCCAAGCCUGUCCUCUUCACCCGAGGCUCCUCGUUCAGAUUCAGCGGUCGGACACAGAAGCAGGUGAUUGAUUAUGUGAAGGACUCUGAGUUUAAGAAGAUCCCGUUUGAAAGGAAACACAGUAGGGUCCAGCACAGCAGAAGCCGUCCAUCUCCGCUGUCUUCCCCUCACUCCCCUCAAGUGCCAAAAGAAAGUGUGAGCGGUGCUCCAGGAGACAGAGCGGAGGUGGACUCUCCGCCCCGCCGUCACUGGAAGGAGUCUGUGAACGCUGAGGACCCUUCAGCCCUGCGGAUCAGAGGCAGCCCUUCCAUCCAGAGGAACGUGGGACACAGCGAGGACAGGCCAGGUCCUGGGGCAGAACCAGGCCCACCGAGGCAGCCCCACCCAGACCAUCUGAACACAGGGGUGGUGUCCAACAGCCCUCAUCUCUCCGCCUCCUCCGUUAACUCCCAGGGCAUUGUCAACGGUCAGAUGCCGGUUGAACUCUGUGGUCACAGUCCGGACGUUCGGCAGCCCUCUCCCCUCACCAGUCCCUUGCUCAACGACGCUGGCAUUGUGCGCACCGACGAUGAAGAGGAGGUUCGGAGGAAGAGGUUCCCUACCGACAAGGCCUACUUUAUCGCCAAGGAGCUGCUGACCACAGAGAGGACCUAUCUGAAGGACCUGGAGGUGGUGACUGUGUCUUUUCAGGACUCGGUGGGUAAAGACGAAGCCGUGCCGGACUCCCUGAAGAGCACCAUCUUCACCAACUUUGCCCCUCUGUACAGGUUUCAGUCCGUCUUCCUCAGAGAGGUGGAGCAGAGACUGGCUCUAUGGGAAGGGUGUUCCAAUGCCCACAUCAAAGGAGACUACCAGCGCAUCGGGGAUGUCAUGCUGAAGCACCUACAGGGACUGAAGCCACUGACAGCCCACCUCCAGAAGCACUCGGAGGCCCUGGUGGAGCUGGAGAAGGCGUGUCGGGGUUCCCCGCGGCUGGAGGUGCUGGUCCGGGACUUUGAGCUGCAGAAGGUGUGCUACAUCCCCCUCAACGUGUUCAUCCUCCGGCCCCUGCACCGCCUCAUGCAUUACAAGCAGAUCCUGGAGCGCCUCUGCAAACACUACCCACCCGCACAUGUGGACUUCAGGGACUGCAGAGCUGCACUGGCAGACGUGUCAGAGGUGGUGUCCCAGCUCCAUGGAAGCAUGAUCAAGAUGGAGAACUUCCAGAAGCUGCUAGAGCUUAUGAAGGAUUUGAUUGGCAUCGACAAUCUAGUCACUCCAGGGCGGGAGUUCCUAAGGCUAGGCUGUCUCAGUAAGCUGUCUGGAAAAGGUCUCCAGCAACGAAUGUUUUUCCUGUUCAAUGAUGUCCUGUUGUAUACGAGUCGAGGGAUGACGGCAACGAACCAGUUCAAAGUGCACGGGCAGCUCCCUCUCUAUGGCAUGACAAUCCGGGAGAGCGAGGAUGAGUGGGGUGUGCCUCACGCCUUCACCCUGGUUGGGCAGCGCCAGUCAGUAGUGGUAGCAGCAAGUUCACUGUCAGAGAUGGAGAAGUGGAUGGAGGACAUUAAUAUGGCCAUUAUCCUGGCGGAGAGCAUCAACGGUCCUCCGUCUGACCGGCUGGCCAGCAGUCUGACAGAUAACAAAUCCCUAACAGAGGACUCCUGUGCAGAGGCGGAGUCUGAGGACGACCUGAUGGCGUCGCGCACCUCCCUGGAGAGGCAGGCUCCUCACCGUGGUAACACCACGGUGCACGUGUGCUGGCACAGGAACACCAGCGUGUCCAUGGUGGACUUUAGCGUAGCCGUGGAGAAUCAGCUGUCAGGAAACCUGCUGAGGAAGUUCAAGAACAGCAACGGCUGGCAGAAACUCUGGGUGGUCUUCACCAACUUCAGCCUGUUCUUCUACAAAACCCACGAGGAUGACUAUCCACUGGCCAGUCUCCCCCUGUUGGGCUACUCUUUCACCAUCCCCACUGAGUCUGAAAACAUCCACAAGGACUAUGUCUUCAAACUGCAUUUCAAAUCCCACGUCUACUACUUCAGAUCUGAGAGCGAGUACAACUUUGACAGGUGGAUGGAGGUCAUUCGCAGCGCCACAGUCUCUGCCAGCCAUAACCGCAUUCUGAGCCGGAAAGAGUCCCGUCCGUACUGACCCAAAGAGCAGGGGGGUUCUCUCCCUGUCUCCCCGUGCCUCUUCUCCUCACCACAACCUCCCAUAGGGUCUGGCCACAUACAGCCUCUCUUCAGACUAUGACUCCCUCAAGCAGCAAGCUGGAACCACACAUUCGCUUGUCUGGAAUCUGUUGAUUUCCUUUUCUCAAUGGAUCUGGGACGUGUGUCCAUUGAGCAGUGUCCAAUGCACAAUCUUGGUGCUUAUUGAUGCGGUGACAUGUCCGCUGGUUUAGACUGCAAACAGAGACAGACAUUUUCAGCAUCUUUUUUUAUACUCUGCUCUGAAUCUCUCUUUUUUUUUUUGUAGGACGUCAUUUUAUACUGUUUUCUAACGGAGCACAUACUAUACUUCUGUUUUCACAUUCUGUCAUUGGAUCGUUUUAUGGUGGAAACUGAUUCUGCGGUUGUUGUUGUUUUUUAAACCUGUUUUUCAUUUAGGAUAUCACUGCAUCCUCAAGGUCUUUUGUCUCCUUGUUCAUUUAAUGAAAAACGAAACAAAAAAAGCUGCUUUGAAAAUCCAACAGCUUGAGUGUCAAAACAGGUCUACCGUUGUCCUAGAUUUUACACUGCAAAUGUCAAAACAGGUCUACCGUUGUCCUAGAUUUUACACUGCAAAUGUCAAAACAGGGCUACCGUUGUCCUAGAUUUUACACUGCAAAUGUCAAAACAGGGCUACCGUUGUCCUAGAUUUUACACUGCAAAUGUCAAAACAGGUCUACCGUUGUCCUAGAUUUUACACUGCAAAUGUCAAAACAGGUCUACCGUUGUCCUAGAUUUUACACUGCAAAUGUCAAAACAGGGCUACCGUUGUCCUAGAUUUUACACUGCAAAUGUCAAAACAGGUCUACCAUUGUCCUAGAUUUUACACUGCAAAUGUCAAAACAGGUCUACCGUUGUCCUAGAUUUUACACUGCAAAUGUCAAAACAGGGCUACCGUUGUCCUAGAUUUUACACUGCAAAUGUCAAAACAGGGCUACCGUUGUCCUAGAUUUUACACUGCAAAUGUCAAAACAGGUCUACCGUUGUCCUAGAUUUUACACUGCAAAUGUCAAAACAGGGCUACCGUUGUCCUAGAUUUUACACUGCAAAUGUCAAAACAGGUCUACCGUUGUCCUAGAUUUUACACUGCAAAUGUCAAAACAGGGCUACCGUUGUCCUAGAUUUUACACUGCACUUUUAUUACGUCGGUGGGGAGGAGACUUAACAUGUGUCGUUAAACAGGCCACAUUAAAAUACUUUUUUUUAAAAAUAUAAAUAUAUAUAAAUAUAAUAUGUCUCUGGAGAAUGUGAGUAACCUUGUGAAAACAUGGAUGAUCAGUAAAGAUAUCCAAAUAUGUAGUUGUACUAUUGACAUAACUCUAAACCUACUUGUAAAACGAUCAGGUUAGUUACCAUCACCACUAACGCCAUUAUUCGCCAAGCAUAGUGAAUAUUUCUCUUACAUGAGGAUCUUUGUCGUGCGGAUACCGCUGAGUUUCUGAAUAAUAUUAUAUUCCACCCUUAAUAGUGUAAGACUCGAUCAUAAUCUGUGUAUUAUGAAGGACACUGUAAUGGAAAGCUUUAAAGAAUAUGCGUGAACCAAAAUAUAAACUUUCAGUUCCAAGCACCAUUGCCCUUGUUGGACUAGGCUGCCCGUAUGUAAGAGACAUUUACGAAUUUAAAUGAAAUGGAUAUAUGCAUAUGACAGACAGGGUUUAUGAAGUGUAGCAUUCCAAAGGGUAUUGAGGGUGUGCUGCCAGACAACAGAGAGAGCUCUUUGGAAAUGAAAGCAAUAAAAUAAACAUUUAUUUGAACAUUGUAUUGUGAGUUUUAUUUGCAUGGUCCACAAUAGUUAACUUUCAAUGUUUUGGACCACUUUCACUUCAAUGCGCUCCACAAUAUUAUUAAAAUGUUGUUUCUUGUAUGACCCAUAGGCGGUAACAUAAAGCCUGUUCCGUUGUGCUCGUCACAUUGGCUACUGCCCCCGAAGUUAUUGCACUCAUGAUUUCCAUCUGAUGAAAGGAGAAAUCGACAUAGGCCUAAAAACGAACUUGGUUAUUGCCAUUUCCUCUUAAAAUGUCGAAUUUUGAAAUGAUGUGAACUUAACUACAUUUGAAUUCUACACGUUUAACGCUUAAAUAUUCAAUUCAUUGAACAAUUCGUUCCCCUAUGGAACAUAAAGACCGUGCAUGGUAUCUUCUUUCCACUUUUUUUUUUGUUUUACCCAUAAAUAUAAUUGUAAAAAUAAUUACAGUAGCAUACAUUCAUAGCGUGCUCAUAUAGAAAGUAAAGUGGGCAGGUCUUUGUACAUGAAUGAAGUGUGGAGGAGUACAGAAUGGUGCCGCCGCUGUUUCCAGAACGGAGCACGCAGAUUACGUCAUGGAUUACCGUUCUCCUAGCAGCAGGAUAAUAUGCUGGCACCACGAUUCAAUAUA
Oncorhynchus mykiss (rainbow trout) is the source of this 5791-nucleotide non-coding RNA. NCBI's taxonomy places the organism in Eukaryota, Metazoa, Chordata, Actinopteri, Salmoniformes, Salmonidae. The record is from RefSeq and is a predicted model, not a curated record.